AUCAUCAAAAUCAAAGGUCAACAGUAGGGGUAUGUGGUCUAUGGUGAACCGGACUAGUGGGGUGAGGCUACAUAGAGGAUAUCUGUUGAACCAGUGGAAGGAGAUGAAGCAUCGAUCCAGUCUUGCCAAUGAGGAUUUUUUUCUGAAGUUAGACCAUGUAAAGUUUCUGUUCGAGAGUCUGAGUUUUAUCAGUGCCUAUGAGUUGAUGAAGUUGUUGAAGAGUCUUGAGCUUGGUUUUGAUUUAGAUACCCCUUUCCAUUCUGAAGAAAAUCGUACUGCACUAAAGUCUCCAAUCAAUAUCUAUGGGGGAUUGUUAUCUUCUCUCAAUUUCCUAAGUUCUACAAAUAACCUCAGACGUUCUUGUUGAGUAUGUGGGCCGUAGAUGUUGGAGAGCA
This 395-nucleotide long non-coding RNA is filed under the name Elaeis guineensis (African oil palm). Its description in RNAcentral is "long non-coding RNA (EGUI_LNC001659)". Lineage: Eukaryota; Viridiplantae; Streptophyta; Magnoliopsida; Arecales; Arecaceae. The record is from RNAcentral.